This 923-nucleotide ribosomal RNA is filed under the name uncultured archaeon. RNAcentral describes it as "bacterial SSU rRNA". It matches the Rfam family "Archaeal small subunit ribosomal RNA", at positions 92 to 1012 of the family's 1478-position model. The record is from RNAcentral.
AGUAACACGUGGAUAACCUGCCCUUAGGACCGGCAUAACCCUGGGAAACUGGGGAUAAUUCCGGAUAACCCAUGAAUGCUGGAAUGCUUCGUGGGUAAAAUGGUUUCGACCGCCCAAGGAUGGAUCUGCGGCCUAUCAGGUAGUAGUGGGUGUAGCGUACCUACUAGCCGACGACGGGUACGGGUUGUGAGAGCAAGAGCCCGGAGAUGGAUUCUGAGACAUGAAUCCAGGCCCUACGGGGCGCAGCAGGCGCGAAAACUUUACAAUGCGGGAAACCGCGAUAAGGGGACACUGAGUGCCAGCAUCUUAUGUUGGCUGUCCGCAUGUUUAAAAAGCAUGUGUUAGCAAGGGCUGGGCAAGACCGGUGCCAGCCGCCGCGGUAACACCGGCAGCCCGAGUGGUGAUCACUAUUAUUGGGUCUAAAGGGUCCGUAGCCGGUUUGAUCAGUCUUUUGGGAAAUCUGACAGCUUAACUGUUAGGCUUCCAAAGGAUACUGUCAGACUUGGGACCGGGAGAGGUAAGAGGUACUACAGGGGUAGGAGUGAAAUCUUGUAAUCCCUGUGGGACCACCAGUGGCGAAGGCGUCUUACCAGAACGGGUCCGACGGUGAGGGACGAAAGCUGGGGGCACGAACCGGAUUAGAUACCCGGGUAGUCCCAGCCGUAAACGAUGCUCGCUAGGUGUCAGGAAUGGUGCGACCGUUUCUGGUGCCGUAGGGAAGCCGUGAAGCGAGCCACCUGGGAAGUACGGCCGCAAGGCUGAAACUUAAAGGAAUUGGCGGGGGAGCACUACAACGGGUGGAGCCUGCGGUUUAAUUGGACUCAACGCCGGAAAAACUCACCGGGGGCGACAGCAAUAUGUAGGUCAGGCUAAAGACCUUACCCGAAUCGCUGAGAGGAGGUGCAUGGCCGUCGUCAGUUCGU